AAGUCGUAACAAGGUUUCCGUAGGUGAACCUGCGGAAGGAUCAUUAAAGAUGUUCAACGGAUGUGCUGGCGUCUAACACCGCAUGUGCACUCCAUAACACAUUUACACACCUGUGAACCUCGGACCGUGCCAUCACUUCUGGGAUGGCAUGCGUUCAAACCUUUGCAAAACCCUUUGAAACAAGCUCUGGAACAUUGAUGCUAUAGUUAAAACAACCAUCAGCAACGGAUCUCUUGGCAUUCCAAUCGAUGAAGAACGUAGCGAAUUGCGAUAAGUAAUGUGAAUUGCAGAAUUCAGUGAAUCAUCGAAUCUUUGAACGCACCUUGCGCCCUCUGGUAUUCCGGAGGGCAUGCCCGGUUGAGUGUCAUGAAUAUCUCAACCCCAACACUUUGUUUGAAAGUCCCAUUGAUGUGCCGGCUGGCCUAGCGAGGCUGCUGUAGCAUUCCUUGCGACUGAAGUGUUGGGGCUUGGACUUGAGCUCUGUUGGCCUUUGUGUUGACUGGCUUGAAAUUGAUCAGCGAUGCGUGAUCCCUUGGGUCCAUCUCGGCGUGAUAAGUUGAUCGUCGCAAAGGACUUUCUUGGGUGUGGCUCGCUUCUAAUCGUCUUAGGACAGCUUUUGACAUUUACACCUCAACUCGGGUAGGACUACCCGCUGAACUUAA
Molecule: ribosomal RNA, 662 nt
Filed under: uncultured Tulasnella
Lineage: Eukaryota; Fungi; Basidiomycota; Agaricomycetes; Cantharellales; Tulasnellaceae
Description: eukaryotic LSU rRNA
Rfam family: 5.8S ribosomal RNA (bases 214-367)
Source: RNAcentral